GGUAGGUUAUUUUUCUCUGUGAAUCUCCGACGGUGUUUUGAGAUUUUGCGUAGGGUUUCGGCAUUUUAGAGUACUGAUUGAAUUGAAAAGAUGUCAGGGAAGGUUCAAGAUUGUCGAAUUUUUGUUGGUGGGUUAUCUUGGGACGUAACUGAACAUCAGCUCGAAGAUGCCUUUAGUCCUUUCGGUAAAAUUGUUGAUUGUCAGGUUAUGCUGGACAGAGACACGGGCCGCCCUCGUGGAUUUGGGUUUUUAACAUUUGCAGACCGCCGAGCAAUGGAGGAUGCAAUAAGAGAAAUGGAUGGUGCAGAGGUUGGUGAUAGGGUGAUAUCGGUGAACAAGGCGCAACCAAAGAUGGGAAGUGAGGAUCCUGAUCAUGGCUAUGGUGGAGGUUACAUAUCAGGUGGCAGGGCGAGCUAUGGUGGGGGUAAUAGGUCAGUUGGGCAAGACACUUGCUUCAGCUGUGGUCGCCCUGGCCAUUGGGCUAGAGACUGUCCAUUGGAAGGAGGUGGCCGGGGUGCUCGACCACUAACACCCCCUUCUCGUUCUAGGUAUGGUGGCACACGUGGGGAUAGGUUUGGAAGUGACCGUGAUAGGUACAUGGAUGACCGAUAUGAUAGAGGGAACCAUGCUGAUAGGGAGCGCUAUGACAGCAGAUAUGAGAGUCGUGAUCGAUACGCUAGCGACAGGUACCCUCCUGGAGGCGAUCGCUUGGGCAAUAGGUAUGGGAGUUCUGACCGCUACCCUCAGAGUGGCUAUGGCAAAGAAAAAGGGUUUGACAGAGAUGUGGGUGGAAGAUAUGAAGGUGGAGGACCAGCACGAUAUGAGGGAAGAAGCUACAGAGAUAGAGCAGGACCUUAUGAUCGCCCUGGAAGGGGAGGACGUCCACCUUCCUUUGACCGUUACUGAGAUGAAUAAGCACAUACAUGUUGAACUUUAGUUGAUCUCUGUGGUAGUAUGGUGGGUACGGAGCACACACUAGGAUAAAUGUGUGGAAGCAGUUAGUAGUGCAUGAGUGACAAGUAGAGUAAAUGAGCAGAGCUAUGUUUUUUCAGUGAAUAUUGUAUGCUUUAUAAAAGAGGGAGCUUCCUCUAUUGGAAUGCAUUAUGGUAU
RNAcentral lists this unclassified non-coding RNA (1110 nucleotides) under Hevea brasiliensis (rubber tree). The record is from RNAcentral. Lineage: Eukaryota; Viridiplantae; Streptophyta; Magnoliopsida; Malpighiales; Euphorbiaceae.